RNAcentral lists this ribosomal RNA (301 nucleotides) under uncultured bacterium. RNAcentral's name for it is "partial 16S ribosomal RNA". It matches the Rfam family "Bacterial small subunit ribosomal RNA", at positions 509 to 809 of the family's 1533-position model. The record is from RNAcentral.
CAGUAGCCGCGGGAAAACAGAGGGUGCAAGCGUUAAUCGGAAUUACUGGGCGUAAAGCGCGCGUAGGUGGUUUGUUAAGUUGGAUGUGAAAUCCCCGGGCUCAACCUGGGAACUGCAUCCAAAACUGGCAAGCUAGAGUAUGGUAGAGGGUGGUGGAAUUUCCUGUGUAGCGGUGAAAUGCGUAGAUAUAGGAAGGAACACCAGUGGCGAAGGCGACCACCUGGACUGAUACUGACACUGAGGUGCGAAAGCGUGGGGAGCAAACAGGAUUAGAUACCCCCGUAGUCCCUGUCUCUUAUCC